GGCCUCUUAUGGUGAGAGCAAACUGAGCUAUAAAUGUUAGUGGAUGUUUUAUAUUAUGCACUAUCUCCCCCCAAGUCUUUAGUAAGCGUUUAUAACCGCAAAUGUUGAUAAAGACUGAAGAAUAUAAAUUUCAAAAUAUAAAAGUGUCAUGUCUAUCUGUUUGGGCAGAUAUUGUCACUCUAGGUAACCCUUCUUGUUAUGAUCUUGCAAUCUUCGUAGUGCAAAUGGUAGUUUUUUGGGUUUGGGAAGGGUAGGUGUUGGUGUUUCGAUCAAGUUAGGUGAGGGUGGUGUUGCAGUGGGGUCGUCUGGGUGGUCGAGUGUGGUGGUUUGAUAUGGGAUGACUAUCAGGUUGUCUUGGUGGGGUAACUGGUUGUUGGGUAUGAAUGGGUUGUGGGCGAAUAUUGGGCCUUGUGGAAGGCACGGGUGAGGGUGGGGUGAUCCUGGUUUCGGGUGGGCAUGGUGGCUUCACAAGGACUUGAAGGUCUUUCGUGAUGGUUCGCAGUGGGUUUUUUCUUUGUA
Molecule: non-coding RNA, 519 nt
Organism: Paramuricea clavata
Lineage: Eukaryota; Metazoa; Cnidaria; Anthozoa; Malacalcyonacea; Plexauridae
Source: the annotation of a GenBank genome assembly